UGAUACUUAUCUGUAUUACACAAGAGAAUCAUGAGUGCAACUGAGUGCAACAUUCCUCACCUUUAUAACAAUCUGUCAUGAAGGUCAUUGUUUUGGAUGAAGGCUGCUGUCUAGAAACAAUAAGGGUGGAGUCUCGUCAGAUACCCAGUCAUCUUUCACUCUGCAGUCUGUAGAAAAAUGAGAAACAAUAAACUGCUUUUUGGAAGAGUCCAUCUAAAAGAAAACUUUGGCUCACAUUUCCUAAUUAUGGUACCUCAUACAGUUGGAUGGACAUGGAUGGACACAUGUCCAACAAUUAACAGUUAAGGAGAUGUUUCAAACGUAUCCCCGGAAUUUAGACUGAUCAAGGCAAUUCCCCAAUUGUUGUUCCCUAUUCCAAGAUAUCAAGUUUACAGUAAAAGGAAUCCAAU
Molecule: long non-coding RNA, 410 nt
Filed under: Mus spicilegus (steppe mouse)
Lineage: Eukaryota; Metazoa; Chordata; Mammalia; Rodentia; Muridae
Description: lncRNA (ENSMSIG00000007862.1)
Source: RNAcentral